Ictidomys tridecemlineatus (thirteen-lined ground squirrel) is the source of this 69-nucleotide non-coding RNA. Lineage: Eukaryota; Metazoa; Chordata; Mammalia; Rodentia; Sciuridae. The record is from Rfam.
GGGAUUGUGGCUCAGUGGUAGAGUACUUGCCUAGCAUGCAUGAGGCACUGUGUUUCAUUCUCAGCACCA